Panthera uncia (snow leopard) is the source of this 1595-nucleotide RNA transcript. It is a transcript of the gene named neuregulin 4, with no coding region annotated. NCBI's taxonomy places the organism in Eukaryota, Metazoa, Chordata, Mammalia, Carnivora, Felidae. The transcript has 5 exons. The record is from RefSeq and is a predicted model, not a curated record.
GGUUGAAUAAAUAAGGUUUUAAGAUUUGUAAUGAUCUGUAAUCCUAUUUAGGAUGUGCUUUAUUACUUCCUAAGGUUUUAACAAACUUCCCAGGAUUUAAAUGGUAAAUGAAGUCUUUGACCAAUUAGGCCCUUUUAUUUGGGAUGCUAAGUUACUUGGAAAAGCACUGUCGUAAAAUGGUAAACCUUAGGUUGCAUUGCAUGGGUAAAUGCUGUAACUGCCCAAAUAUAUAUGCAAUUCCUAAACUUUUAAUGUUUUGGGAUAAGGUCAUCACUUAAUAUUCUGAUUACCUGAAGUGUUAUGUGUCAUAGAAAUAACCGAAUUUCUUUGUUAAUUGCAUCAUAACGAACUCUCAUCAGAUCUAUAACAGUGUCCAUUUCUGAUCUUUUGUCAUUUAUAAUUGUUCUUAUUCUCUCACAAAACAUGUUUCUUCUUCAAGGAGAUUUAUAAAAAGGACUUUUAGGACAAAUACAGGUAUUUGACAUCUUUAAGGUUAAUACUAAAAUGGGUAAGAAUUUCCAGAGCUAAAAAGCUGCAUUCAAACUGAACAAGAAUUAGGAACAUGGGACUAAAUGAACUGAGGAAGAUUACAGUUUUGUGACUCUUGUUGGAAAUAUUGCUGGCUCUCUAAUGUUUGCUCUUCCAGAUUAAGGAGACUUUCUCUUAAGAUAUGUCAUAACAUGUCAUAAAGAAGUGUCAUAAAGUAUUCAUUUGUAAACUGAAGCAUUUAUCUUUUCUCUCAACCUAAACCCUCUGAAAUUCAAAAACUCUCAGUGAGUAUUCUUUCUUUCAUAGCAAUUACAAUUGUUUGCAUAAAUUCAAUAAGAAUCUGUUCAUCUUGUAACAGGUCACCAUUGGAAAUACUGGUUAUUUUACCAAGGCUUUGACUGGAAUGUCAUAUUUGAGAGUGACAUGCAUAGAUUCAGAUAUGACCAGACAGCUUUAAGGAACUUGGGGUGACUUUAUGAAACAUGGAGCCAUAAAGGAAAUGUUGGCCUGAUGCCUUGCUUACAGAGCUCCCAGCAGCCUCACCAGGUGAAUAAAGAAGGUCACUUCCUGGCAGGUGCAAGAACCUAAGGAUACCUUGGGGACCUGGUGAAGAGGAAUUCACCCAAUUCUACAGGAAGUGAACUGAUGCUGGCUUCUCUUUGUCUUAUUCCAAGUUGGGGCAUGAGAUUUUCCCUGCAUUAGAAGGUUGUUGAGACCUGAAGCCUGGGAAGAUGCAUUGAAAAUUAUACAGGAGCUCGUUGUGAAGAGGUUUUUCUCCCAAGCUCCAGCAUCCAAACUAAAAGUGACCUGUUUGCAGCUUUUGUGUCAUUGACUAUUCUUCUAGGAACUCUUAUCAUUGGAGCCCUCUACCUCCUUUUCAGGAAGGGCCACCUUCAGAGGACCAGUUCAGUCCAGUAUGAUAUCAACCUGGUAGAGACAAGCAGUACCAGUGCCCACCACAGUCAUGGAGAACACUGAAGAAAUAUCACACUGAACAAAAUCAUUCCUUGUUUGUCACAAAGGCAGAAAAUGAAACUCCAUAAGGUAAAAGAGAUCAUAGGAUUUAAUCCUUCUUUCUUCCUUAAAAUAAAAAAGACUGAAAUUGC